GAUGAACGCUGGCGGCGCGCCUAACACAUGCAAGUCGAACGGCACCUGCCUUCGGGCAGAAGCGAGUGACGAACGGCUGAGUAACACGUGGAGAACCUGCCCCCUCCCCCGGGAUAGCCGCCCGAAAGGACGGGUAAUACCGGAUACCCCGGGGUGCCGCAUGGCACCCCGGCUAAAGCCCCGACGGGAGGGGAUGGCUCCGCGGCCCAUCAGGUAGACGGCGGGGUGACGGCCCACCGUGCCGACAACGGGUAGCCGGGUUGAGAGACCGACCGGCCAGAUUGGGACUGAGACACGGCCCAGACUCCUACGGGAGGCAGCAGUGGGGAAUCUUGCGCAAUGGGGGGAACCCUGACGCAGCGACGCCGCGUGCGGGACGGAGGCCUUCGGGUCGUAAACCGCUUUCAGCAGGGAAGAGUCAAGACU
This 426-nucleotide ribosomal RNA is filed under the name uncultured bacterium. RNAcentral's name for it is "bacterial SSU rRNA". It matches the Rfam family "Bacterial small subunit ribosomal RNA", at positions 28 to 457 of the family's 1533-position model. The record is from RNAcentral.